AGAAAAAGUAUGAAUGGUUUCGAUAAAUGGCAGAGACGGUUAUUUGGAUCCUGAUUACGGUUUUCGUCACUGCAUACAUAAUCAUAGACAUCGAAGGUGAUAUUUUCUGGAAGCUUCAUACUAAACCUGUAGUAUUUGGAAAGGACGUCCAACUGUCGUGUCAUCUAACAUAUACCGCCCCUUGCUGUAACAGAUAUACACGAAAAUGGGCUAAAGGCUGGAAAUAUAACCUUGCCAUAAUAAAUGGAGUAUCUUUGAAUAUUUUAAAGUACACAGAAUCUGUAAACAAUUCUGCAAACACCUCGAUCUUCACAAUUAAAACUCUCGAAGAAUAUGAUGUUAACAUACCUUAUGAGUGCACUUAUGGAUUUAAUACGUUCAGUAAUGUUUUGGAAAUGACAGAGGAAGAUUUUGAAUAUCAUCCCAUAGAAGAGCUUCCAAUUAAUAUUACUAAUUACAAAGAUUAUAUUGAAGCAAAUAUAUCAAUGGAAAAAGUAUAUCCUUCUCCGAAAUGUAAUGCCACUGAUGGGAUGGUGGACUUGAAACAAAACUUGACCAUAACCAAUGUUCGCAAUGGUUUAUUUUACACAUCAAAUAUGUCUCUCGUCUACAAGAUCAUUGAUACAUGUUGCUGUAAUAGAACUAUUGAAGUCAUAUGUUUUAUUGGACACACGUCUUUUACAGUAGUUAACGACACUGUGCCAUGUUUAGAGGCAAAACCUAAAUAUCCCAAGAAAAAGAAAACUGAAUUUGUAUUUGUGGUAAUAGCUGCAUUUAUUGGGUGUGUUGGACUAGUUGACAUAGUUGCCCUCAUUUUGAUUUUACUGCGUUAGCCUUCUUUUACAAAUGAUCAAUCCAGAGACUCCUAGCACUCCGGCUUCCUCCACCAAUAAAAACUGACCUCCACGAAAUAGCACAAUAGGUUGAAAGUGGCGUUAAACACUAAUCAAUCAAUCAUGAGAUUCAUCGUCGGCAUCUUUUUACAAACAGCAGAAACGGAACUCUAAAAAAUUUUAAAGGAAAUUAUCACAACUUUCUCUGAGGUUCAUGCAAGCUGUAUUAAUAAAUAAAUGGAGACUUACUUAUUAUUAUAAUAGUUAAACGGAUGUACAUGUAAUCACAUGGUAUUUGAUGUAAUAUACAAUAUAUAUUCCUGUAACUGUCGUAUGUUAUAUGUGUUAUUAUAUGUAAACCAGACGUCAAAGACGUCAUAGUGGAAUGAAUGUUGUUAAAAACCAUUUUCUUCACUUUUUGGAGUGUUUUUUGUGUGUGAUAUUAGGUUGUAAUAACUUCAUUUCCUUUCAUUCAAACGUUUUUGCAUGGUAGACACGUGUGAGAUCAAGAACACAAAUUUGAGUUGAGAUUUCAUUUAUAAGUAGAGAUCUUAUUUACAUUUUAACGAUUUGAUCUUUAGAACAACUUUUAGAUCAAACGUUCCGAGACAAAAUUGUUUAUAAGUGAGCACAUGAUUAAUUCUUAAUUGAAAUCCAUCUUCAUAAUCAUAAAAUGCUAAAAAUAGUUAACAGUUUGGUCUGAUUUUGAUUAAUAAACCUGUUGUCAUAACUUGAUGCGCUCAU
Mytilus californianus (California mussel) is the source of this 1577-nucleotide long non-coding RNA. RefSeq lists it as uncharacterized. NCBI's taxonomy places the organism in Eukaryota, Metazoa, Mollusca, Bivalvia, Mytilida, Mytilidae. The transcript has 6 exons. The record is from RefSeq and is a predicted model, not a curated record.